Molecule: ribosomal RNA, 253 nt
Filed under: uncultured bacterium
Lineage: Bacteria
Description: partial 16S ribosomal RNA
Rfam family: Bacterial small subunit ribosomal RNA
Source: RNAcentral
UACGAAGGGGGCUAGCGUUGCUCGGAAUGACUGGGCGUAAAGGGCGCGUAGGCGGCUUGCACAGUCAGGCGUGAAAUUCCUGGGCUCAACCUGGGGACUGCGCUUGAGACGUGUGGGCUUGAGUGGGGAAGAGGGUCGUGGAAUUCCCAGUGUAGAGGUGAAAUUCGUAGAUAUCGGGAGGAACACCAGUGGCGAAGGCGGCGACCUGGACGGACACUGACGCUGAGACGCGAAAGCGUGGGGAGCAAACAGG